GUCGCAGUGGCUGAUUGGUAAAGCACUUGGCUUCUGAACUGGGGUCCCGGGUUUGAAUCCUGGUGAAGACU
This is a non-coding RNA of Biomphalaria glabrata, 71 nucleotides long. The record is from Rfam. NCBI's taxonomy places the organism in Eukaryota, Metazoa, Mollusca, Gastropoda, Planorbidae.